Long non-coding RNA from Vitis riparia (riverbank grape), 1233 nucleotides. RefSeq lists it as uncharacterized. NCBI's taxonomy places the organism in Eukaryota, Viridiplantae, Streptophyta, Magnoliopsida, Vitales, Vitaceae. The record is from RefSeq and is a predicted model, not a curated record. The transcript has 2 exons.
UUGAUCCGAGGAAGGAAAUGCUGGAAACGGAAAGUUGAAAACAAUGCUCCAUGGAAAACGGUGACGAUUGGGUAGCUGUAGACAAAGUGUACCACAUCCUCUUCUGCUUCGUCCUCACUCUCAUCUUCUCAGCCCUCGCCAACAGAACUCGUUACCCCUUUCUCCGUCGAUACUCCGUCUGGGUCGCCUCCAUCCUCUCUCUCGCCGCCGGCGCCGCCAAGGAAGUCGCUGACGAAAUCGGCUUCUUCAAGUCUGCCGGCGCCUCCUCUAAAGACGCUCUCGCCGAUCUCCUCGGCGUUCUAAUCGCUUGCCUCGCUCUUUCUCUGCGGAAAUCCUCACGUCGCCCCGAUCCCAUGGAUCAAGUUCGAGGAGUCUCGCUAGUCUGAGUCCAACCGAGCCUUUUCAGAGAAGAAACCAUGGAUGGACAAGCUACAAGUGUUACAGAAACUGGCAUCUACACAAGGAUAAUCGGCUAGGAUUUUCAAAGCCAUUUCGGAUCCACCUACAACCAGCUUGCAACGUUUGAAGGUAAUAUUUUCUUUGAUGAUGGUUGUUGGACCUUGGUAUGAUGUCUCAUCUCCCACUUUAAACAAAUUACAAUGGUCAAUUAGUCUUUGAAAAUUUAUUUUGACAAUUUUGUUCUUUGUUUUGUAGUUCUGAUUUUAAUAUAUAAAAUUUAAAAUUUAAUAUUGUCAGGUUUGCUAUUUCUUCUUUGUUGGUCUCAUUAACACAAAGAUCAGUAUGUUUUGAGAAUCAAAUUGAUCUGUAGAUAGUCAGCAAUUUCCAAUCCCCGUGUUCCCUGCAACUUUAAUUGAUGACUUAAUUUGUUAGAGCAGGAAAUUGAUGAGCUAUCCUCAUUAUUGCUCAUAUCAUACCUUGUUUACAUCUCUCAUUUUCUGAUUAGAGGGUUUGGACAUCUUCCCUGGUCUAUUUUCUUCUCAAUCUUUGUUUUCUGCUGUUGCAAAUAUUGAUUCUCCAGUGCCUUUUCAGGGGGCAAUUUCAUUUAGAAUUCUGAAGUUCAUCAGAAGUUAGAGCUUUUCCUUGUGUAGACACUAUGAAAGGGUUAAUACCAUUGAAUGGUUGUAGGCUAGAGGCCUUCCAUUACCUAUAAUCCUGAGGGUUGUGUUCUCAGCUUAGACAACAGUGACACAGCAGACCACUUCUUUGUACUAUGCCUUUGUGGUUUAUGAAAUAUGUUGCUCAAGGAGGCAGGCUUGCCUUGGGCCUUCCCCU